This is a long non-coding RNA of Eriocheir sinensis (Chinese mitten crab), 718 nucleotides long. RefSeq lists it as uncharacterized. Lineage: Eukaryota; Metazoa; Arthropoda; Malacostraca; Decapoda; Varunidae. The transcript is spliced from 4 exons. The record is from RefSeq and is a predicted model, not a curated record.
CUUGCAUUCACGUUCGAGACGUUGCUGGUGGUGUACUCCGCCCUCUGCUUCAGGGACCCAUUGGCGGCGGCGGUGCCGCGGCUGGAGGAGCUGACGCAGGCAACGCAGGAGCUCAAGAAACUCUUCGGCUUCGCAGGCGGGGGUGCGAAUCAGGCAUUAGAACAAACAGUCGCUGGAUCGCUUAUGGAAGUCUUCGAGUACAGCGACUCCUCCGACGACACCUACUACCCCAACGACGAGUCUGACCUGGAGGAAUGCCUGGCUAUGCCCAAUAUCCACCCCCCGCCGAUGUGCAAGACGAGGAACACAUACCCCCUUCGGCCCCGCAAACCCUCCUCCCCGAAUCCCGUCCUUGAUAGCUAUCGAGUCCCCCACCGCCUUCAGUCUCCUCGUGAAACGUAAGUGGAGUUUGAGGCGCCGGAUUGCGCUCUCCUGCCGAACUCAAACUGCAGCAGGAGUCAGAUCAGGAGGAGGCCGGAGUGGUGCAGUAAUGCGAGGUGGGGUGGGAAGAAGUGUUUGCUGCCCUCUAUCGGUGUAAUGAGUAAGUAGAUGUUAUGUUCCUAUUAUAAUAGGACGGUCUUUGAAAUUAAUCUGCAGCUUGUUUAUUUAUCAAUGGAAGUGAAUAGAUUUAUGUCAUAUUCCAGGCUCUUUGUUUUUGAGGGCGAGGGGAACUAACCGUGUAUGCAAAGAUAUUGAUAUGACUGAUUUCAUUGUGUUU